GACGAACGCUGGCGGCGUGCUUAACACAUGCGAGUCGAACGGAAAGGCCCUGCUUUUGUGGGGUGCUCGAGUGGCGAACGGGUGAGUAACACGUGAGUAACCUGCCCUUGACUUUGGGAUAACUUCAGGAAACUGGGGCUAAUACCGGAUAGGAGCUCCUGCUGCAUGGGGGGGGUUGGAAAGUUUCGGCGGUUGGGGAUGGACUCGCGGCUUAUCGGCUUGUUGGUGGGGUAGUGGCGUACCAAGGCUUUGACGGGUAGCCGGCCUGAGAGGGUGACCGGGCACAUUGGGACUGAGAUAGGGCCCAGACUCCAACGGGAGGCAGCAGUGGGGAGUCUUGCACAGUGGGCGGAAGCGUGAUGCAGCAACGCCGCGUGCGGGAUGACGGCCUUCGGGUUGUAAACCGCUUUCGCCUGUGACGAAGCGUGAGUGUCGGUAAUGGGUAAAGAAGCACCGGCUAACUACGUG
RNAcentral lists this ribosomal RNA (468 nucleotides) under uncultured bacterium. RNAcentral's name for it is "partial 16S ribosomal RNA". It matches the Rfam family "Bacterial small subunit ribosomal RNA", at positions 28 to 507 of the family's 1533-position model. The record is from RNAcentral.